GAUGAACGCUGGCGGCGUGCCUAAUACAUGCAAGUCGAGCGAACAGACGAGGAGCUUGCUCCUCUGACGUUAGCGGCGGACGGGUGAGUAACACGUGGAUAACCUACCUAUAAGACUGGGAUAACUUCGGGAAACCGGAGCUAAUACCGGAUAAUAUAUUGAACCGCAUGGUUCAAUAGUGAAAGACGGUUUUGCUGUCACUUAUAGAUGGAUCCGCGCCGCAUUAGCUAGUUGGUAAGGUAACGGCUUACCAAGGCAACGAUGCGUAGCCGACCUGAGAGGGUGAUCGGCCAGACUGGAACUGAGAAACGGUACAGACUCCUACGGGAGGCAGCAGUAGGGAAUCUUCCGCAAUGGGCGAAAGCCUGACGGAGCAACGCCGCGUGAGUGAUGAAGGUCUUCGGAUCGUAAAACUCUGUUAUUAGGGAAGAACAAAUGUGUAAGUAACUAUGCACGUAUUGACGGUACCUAAUCAGAAAGCCACGGCUAACUACGUG
RNAcentral lists this ribosomal RNA (497 nucleotides) under uncultured bacterium. RNAcentral describes it as "partial 16S ribosomal RNA". It matches the Rfam family "Bacterial small subunit ribosomal RNA", at positions 28 to 507 of the family's 1533-position model. The record is from RNAcentral.